UGCGCAGGCGGAUUGAUAAGUCAGUGGUGAAAACCUUCAGCUUAACUGGAGACUUGCCAUUGAUACUGUUAGUCUUGAGUACGGUCAAGGUAGGCGGAAUGUGUAAUGUAGCGGUGAAAUGCUUAGAUAUUACACAGAACACCGAUUGCGAAGGCAGCUUACUGGGCCAUUACUGACGCUGAGGCACGAAAGCGUGGGGAGCGAACAGGAUUAGAUACCCUGGUAGUCC
RNAcentral lists this ribosomal RNA (229 nucleotides) under uncultured bacterium. RNAcentral describes it as "partial 16S ribosomal RNA". It matches the Rfam family "Bacterial small subunit ribosomal RNA", at positions 568 to 796 of the family's 1533-position model. The record is from RNAcentral.